AUUGAACGCUGGCGGCAUGCCUUACACAUGCAAGUCGAACGGCAGCACGGGUGCUUGCACCUGGUGGCGAGUGGCGAACGGGUGAGUAAUACAUCGGAACAUGUCCUGUAGUGGGGGAUAGCCCGGCGAAAGCCGGAUUAAUACCGCAUACGAUCUACGGAUGAAAGCGGGGGACCUUCGGGCCUCGCGCUAUAGGGUUGGCCGAUGGCUGAUUAGCUAGUUGGUGGGGUAAAGGCCUACCAAGGCGACGAUCAGUAGCUGGUCUGAGAGGACGACCAGCCCCCCUGGGACUGGGACCCGGCCCAGACUCCUACGGGGGGCAGCAGUGGGGAAUUUUGGGCAAUGGGCGAAAGCCUGAUCCAGCAAUGCCGCGUGUGUGGAGAAGGCCUUCGGGUUGUAAAGCACUUUUGUCCGGAAAGAAAUCCUUGGCCCUAAUACGGUCGGGGGGAUGACGGUACCGGAAGAAUAAGCACCGGCUAACUACGUG
RNAcentral lists this ribosomal RNA (487 nucleotides) under uncultured bacterium. Its description in RNAcentral is "partial 16S ribosomal RNA". It matches the Rfam family "Bacterial small subunit ribosomal RNA", at positions 28 to 507 of the family's 1533-position model. The record is from RNAcentral.